This is a long non-coding RNA of Sapajus apella (tufted capuchin), 642 nucleotides long. RefSeq lists it as uncharacterized. The record is from RefSeq and is a predicted model, not a curated record. The transcript has 3 exons. NCBI's taxonomy places the organism in Eukaryota, Metazoa, Chordata, Mammalia, Primates, Cebidae.
AAACCCACAGGAAGAAGAGAUUGCAGUAAACAGAAUUAAUGCCUCCUAAAGACGUCUGGGUCCUAAUCCCCAAAACCCACAGAUACACUGCCUUCAUAGCAAAAGGGACUUUGCAGAUGUGAUUAAGUUAAGGCUCUUGAGACAGGAAGAUUAUCUUGGAUCCCCUGAGCCCAGUGUCACCACAAGGGUCCUUAUAAGAGAAAGGCAAGAAAGGCAGAGUCAGAGAGAAUGCGAAGACAGAAACAGUGAUGUGAGGCCGAAAUCCAAGGAAUGACACAGCCUCCAGAAGCCAGAAAAGGCAAGGAUUGGAUUAUCCCCAAGAGCCUCGGAAGGGACACACUCAUUUCGAUCGCCACAGCUGUAAAAGGCAGAAGGAUGGGUAUAUAAAUUUGAAUGUAUGGAUGCUGAGAGAAAGACUUACAGGAACACGUGUGAAAAUGUUUACAAAAAUUAUCUCCAAGUGAAAAAAGGUAUCUACUCAAUGGAAAUGAAAGACUUAUAUGUAAAUGUUUGCAAUAGCUUCCUCCUCAAUAGUCAGAACCUGGAAACCAUCAGAUGUCCAUCAGCACUACACUUGAUACAUAAAUUGUGGCAUAUUCACCUAAUAGCAUACAAUACAGCAAUACACAAACUGCAAAAAUA